AUUGAACGCUGGCGGCAUGCCUUACACAUGCAAGUCGAACGGCAGCACGGGGCAACCUGGUGGCGAGUGGCGAACGGGUGAGUAAUGUCUGGGAAACUGCCUGAUGGAGGGGGAUAACUACUGGAAACGGUAGCUAAUACCGCAUAACGUCGCAAGACCAAAGUGGGGGACCUUCGGGCCUCAUGCCAUCAGAUGUGCCCAGAUGGGAUUAGCUAGUAGGUGGGGUAACGGCUCACCUAGGCGACGAUCCCUAGAUGGUCUGAGAGGAUGACCAGCCACACUGGAACUGAGACACGGUCCAGACUCCUACGGGAGGCAGCGGUGGGGAAUAUUGCACAAUGGGCGCAAGCCUGAUGCAGCCAUGCCGCGUGUGUGAAGAAGGCCUUCGGGUUGUAAAGCACUUUCAGCGGGGAGGAAGGCGAUAAGGUUAAUAACCUUGUCGAUUGACGUUACCCGCAGAAGAAGCACCGGCUAACUCCGUGCCAUCAGCCGCCGUAU
Molecule: ribosomal RNA, 498 nt
Filed under: uncultured bacterium
Lineage: Bacteria
Description: partial 16S ribosomal RNA
Rfam family: Bacterial small subunit ribosomal RNA
Source: RNAcentral